UUUAUGUGUUUUCCUUUCAAGUCAAUUUCCAUUUUAACUCCUAAUCUUAAUUAAUAAAGAUCUUCCAUAUUUCUUCUCAAGCCUAUGAAGAAAAUGUGGCUCUAUAUGUAA
Molecule: ribosomal RNA, 111 nt
Filed under: Shewanella putrefaciens
Lineage: Bacteria; Pseudomonadati; Pseudomonadota; Gammaproteobacteria; Alteromonadales; Shewanellaceae
Source: RNAcentral